CAGGCCCACUGGCUGGGUCAUCUCCGAAGGGCUGGAAAGACACCUGCACCAGGCCUCGUGACGAUAACUGGCUUAGGACAGGGGCUGAAAGGCUAUGCCUCAGAUCACCUCCUGCUAUCAAGGCACUUUCCCAAAGAGACUCUGGCCACCAGGCAGCUAGCACAGGCAGCUCCAACAUCUCCCAACACAGCACUGCACGCCCACCUCACCCCCCCACAGUCCCCGGGGCCUCUGACCCCCUUCUGCCAUCCAGAUCCCUCCGGGGCCUGAAACCAGUGAAAUGGCAGUUCCCCAGUGCUCCAGCCUUGAACGCUGUUCCUAGUCCCACCCACGAGUGGGAUCACCCAGCCCACGUUCUCCUUCGGCGUCUCUCACUGAGUGGAGUCCCUCCGCUUCCAUCUAAGUCCUGGCAAGAGGGAGCUGUCUCUUUCAGGGCAGAGCGGUACCCCACUGUGCAUCCACACAGCCUUGUUGGCCACGCACACGCCACUCAGACGCCGGGUGUUUCUAGACCUGGCGCACACAGCUCUCUGUUCUCUGGGAAGAUGCCCAGGGAGGAGGCGCCAGGUGCUAUGCCUAGAGGACGACGAAGUAGAGAGAGAGGGAUGGAGGGAGACGGUGGGAGGAAUCCUCUCUGGGCUGGAGAGAAACCUGAUGCACACUGAGAUCUGCUGGACUAUUUUUAACUGAACUUUCUGGCCCCAGGUCAAGCUUCUGCUGGCAGAAACCAAGGCUGGGACUGGGCGGCCCAGAGCUGGGCUGGGGGAGGCGCACAGAGGC
Erinaceus europaeus (western European hedgehog) is the source of this 780-nucleotide long non-coding RNA. RefSeq lists it as uncharacterized. NCBI's taxonomy places the organism in Eukaryota, Metazoa, Chordata, Mammalia, Eulipotyphla, Erinaceidae. The transcript has 3 exons. The record is from RefSeq and is a predicted model, not a curated record.